RNAcentral lists this long non-coding RNA (795 nucleotides) under Danio rerio (zebrafish). Its description in RNAcentral is "lncRNA si:ch73-167f18.4 (ENSDARG00000095970.2)". Lineage: Eukaryota; Metazoa; Chordata; Actinopteri; Cypriniformes; Danionidae. The record is from RNAcentral.
CAGCUAUAAUAACAUGCUGACACAUCAGCCAGCCCUUCUAUCUUACUAUCCCCACGCUUCGCCAUCACACCGCUAAAUGCAGCCACGCCAGAGAUGAAAGCAGUCUAUGAAUAAAGCUUACACCUCACAGCAGCUGCUCAAACACAAACACAUUCUUAUAGCUGGUGUGUGUGUAUGUGUGUAACGACAGCUUAAACACAGUCCACAACUCUCACAAAGGAGCUCGCUGAUGCCCACACAUGAUAAUCCCUGACAUCUUGAGGAGGAGAAGAAAGAAGAAAAAAUACCCUGCUAAUCACAGAAUUUUAACUGGUUUUAAUGGUUAUAAUAACAAUUGUAUUGGUUGUAAUGGGAACUUUUGGUUUUGUGAAUGUCUACUGGUAAUUUAUCUGCCUUCUGUUGGUGGUGUGUUAAAGGGUUCACCCAAAAACGAAAACCCAACCCCUGACACCUUCGUUUGUCUCUGCAACUCAAGUUGAGAUAUUUUAGAUGAAAUCCAGGAGCUCUCUCCUACAUAGACAGCAAUGCAUCUGAAACAUUCUAAAGAAAAGAAAAAGAACCAAAACAUUUUCACAUUUCACGUGACUUCAGUGCUUCAACUGUAAUCAUAUAAAGCUCCAAGAACAGUUUUGUGCAUUAAAAACAGUGUAAAAUGACUUUUGACCUAUGUCUUACAUAUCAGGUCAGGGAGUGUGUGUUUAACAACAGCUUAAACACAGUCUACAACUCUCCCGAAGUAACUCGCUGAUGCCCACACAUGAUAAUCCGUGACAUCUCGAGAAGAAAAAGGAAGAA